GGCCAGACUCCUACGGGAGGCAGCAGUGGGGAAUAUUGCACAAUGGGGGAAACCCUGAUGCAGCAACGCCGCGUGAGUGAGGAAGUAUUUCGGUAUGUAAAGCUCUAUCGGCAGGGAAUAGAAAAGAAGGUACCUGAAAAAGAAGCUCCGACUAACUACGUGCCAGCAGCCGCGGUAAUACGUAGGGAGCAAGCGUUGUCCGGAAUUACUGGGUGUAAAGGGAGCGUAGGCGGGGAUGCAAGUUGGGUGUCAAAACUACCGGCUCAACCGAUAGUCGCACUCAAAACUGCAACUCUUGAGUGAAGUAGAGGCAGGCGGAAUUCCUAGUGUAGCGGUGAAAUGCGUAGAUAUUAGGAGGAACACCAGUGGCGAAGGCGGCCUGCUGGGCUUUUACUGACGCUGAGGCUCGAAAGUGUGGGGAGCAAACAGGAUUAGAUACCCUCGUA
RNAcentral lists this ribosomal RNA (446 nucleotides) under uncultured bacterium. Its description in RNAcentral is "bacterial SSU rRNA". It matches the Rfam family "Bacterial small subunit ribosomal RNA", at positions 329 to 792 of the family's 1533-position model. The record is from RNAcentral.